Bombyx mori (domestic silkworm) is the source of this 909-nucleotide long non-coding RNA. RefSeq lists it as uncharacterized. NCBI's taxonomy places the organism in Eukaryota, Metazoa, Arthropoda, Insecta, Lepidoptera, Bombycidae. The record is from RefSeq and is a predicted model, not a curated record. The transcript is spliced from 2 exons.
GAUAAAACCACAACUCUGCCUCAAACGCGACAUAAGUCCAUUCACUGGUAAAACUACACACUACUACGAGCACUCGAAUGCACUCGCGCACACAUACAAGCGAUACUACGAUAGUACUAUGAACUUCGAUCAAUAAUACUACUAGAUUCGCGAUUAGCGCUUCAAAAACGGCCCGAAAAAUAAGACCACAAAUAAAUUUGUGGUCUUAUUUCAAAUUAGUAUGGUCCAAUCAUAGCCAACACUAAGACGUCAAAACGCUGCAAUGCGCGUUCAAAAACUGAGUAAAAAACCACCGUAACACCAAGGUUUUGGAAGGAAUAUCUUUUUUUGAUUUCCUAGUAGCCCCUUGUUGCUGUGCACAAUGGAUAUAUAUUGUCGCGAAAGAAAGAGGAGAAGAAAUAUAGAACUCUUAUAAAAAUUCUAGAAUUGUUCAAUGGUGGUGGCAAAUCAAUGCAAAAAAGUAUUAAAAAAACUUUAUAUGUAUGUGUAAAUAUUUUAAGCGUAUAUGCUGAAAAGGAUUUGUUUUCUGGGGGAAACGAACACAGCCAUAAAAUAAGCCUAAAUUAAACUGAUUAUAGAAGAAUUCAUUGAUAUAAGAUUACAUUAUAUUUGUAAAAAAGAAACCGCUCAUAUAAAAAUGACUUCUAAAAGACAGCUUUAUAACAAACUGAAUCUGUUUAAAGGUAAUUAAACCUACAUUAUUGUUUUAAUUACUUCUGUAUAAAGAAUACGUGGAAAACAUGUUUCGUGUUUCCUUUCAUAUUUUUUUUACUUUAUUCAAUUUUAUUUUUUAUCACCUAUUUGUUGUAAUAGCGGCAAUGUAAAAUAUUAUCUACUACUUUUUUGAAUCGGUCAAAAAUAGUUGCGACCAUACAAAACAAACCUAAAACAAAUAUGUAUAUUCUGCAA